This 497-nucleotide ribosomal RNA is filed under the name uncultured bacterium. RNAcentral describes it as "partial 16S ribosomal RNA". It matches the Rfam family "Bacterial small subunit ribosomal RNA", at positions 28 to 507 of the family's 1533-position model. The record is from RNAcentral.
GAUGAACGCUGGCGGCGUGCCUAAUACAUGCAAGUCGAGCGAACAGACGAGGAGCUUGCUCCUCUGACGUUAGCGGCGGACGGGUGAGUAACACGUGGAUAACCUACCUAUAAGACUGGGAUAACUUCGGGAAACCGGAGCUAAUACCGGAUAAUAUAUUGAACCGCAUGGUUCAAUAGUAAAAGACGGUUUUGCUGUCACUUAUAGAUGGACCCGCGCCGCAUUAGCUAGUUGGUAAGGUAACGGCUUACCAAGGCAACGAUGCGUAGCCGACCUGAGAGGGUGAUCGGCCACACUGGAACUGAGACACGGUCCAGACUCCUACGGGAGGCAGCAGUAGGGAAUCUUCCGCAAUGGGCGAAAGCCUGACGGAGCAACGCCGCGUGAGUGAUGAAGGUCUUCGGAUCGUAAAACUCUGUUAUUAGGGAAGAACAAAUGUGUAAGUAACUAUGCACGUCUUGACGGUACCUAAUCAGAAAGCCACGGCUAACUACGUG